This 13793-nucleotide long non-coding RNA is filed under the name Homo sapiens (human). RNAcentral describes it as "HSALNT0292510". The record is from RNAcentral. Lineage: Eukaryota; Metazoa; Chordata; Mammalia; Primates; Hominidae.
UAUUCCAUGGUGUAUAUGUGCCACAUUUUCUUUAUGCAGUUUAUCAUUGAUGGGCAUUUGGGUUCCAAUCCCUAAGUUUUAUUCAGUAUAUGGUACCAGCUAUAUGCACUUUGGGUAACCUUGGUCACAUCAUCUCAUUUGCCUGCUCAUUCACGGAUACUUAUUCAACAAAUACCAAUUGAGCAAGAUGUAUGUGCUAGUAUGACAGAGAGAUAGGUCACCUGGGGCCUCAGCUUCUCCACUGCUGAAGACUUGUGCCAGAUCACUGGCUUUCAAUGCAGUGUGGACUCCAGAGCCCUAUUUUAUUAAACAAAUUAGAGUGGAUUCAAGGUUAUUCCUCUAAUAGCUUCACUCCUUGGUAUACUGAAGCUGUCUCAGGUGAAAGAGAAAAUGGUGGAGUGACAGCUAUAGGCUUGGAAUUUUUGUUAUUAUUACCCAGAACUUAAUUGAUCUCUGCCUGAAUUGUUAGGCUGUGUGAGCCUCACUUGCCACAAGGUCUUCAUGAAAAGGAUUGAGAACUGCUGAACUGAAUGUUCUCUGAGAUUCUUUCUAGCUCUGACAUUCACAGAGUGCUGAGACAGUUUUUCUUUUUUCUUUGUUUUCAUUUAACACUGUUUCACAUGCACAUUUCCAAGACUCCAUAUGGCUGAUUUCCUUGUCAGUCUCAGAAACAGUGCUUCAGUUUUGCUUAGCAGUAGUCCUAUUGGUUCCUGUCUUCCCUUGAUUCCCUCUACUUUUACAGACUUUUUUCAGAGCCUUCAUUUCAAUGAAUCCUAAUGGUGUGUGUGUCUGUGUAUUUGUCCACACUCAAGGUCUUUAUCUGGUACCUACAGGCACUCAGCAACUACCAAUUGGAUGAAUUAGUGAAUUCUUAAUGAUUAUCAAUAAUUUCAUCUCACACACACACACAUACACACACAGAGAGAGAGAGAGAGAGAGAGAAUGAGAGAAAUCAUAACCUUUGGCUUAUUUUACUUCUUUUUUGAGGGUGUUAAUUUUCAAAACAGAAUCGCUAGAUCCAAAGUUUAGCAGCAAGUUUCAUGCUUGUAUUACCAGCUACCAGAUUGCUGUGUUGCCUCUGUUUUAUGUAAGCAGUAGUUUUUCUGAUAACACUUGUGUUAAUUAUUUAUAACAUUAUAAGUAAUUAAUCAAAUCAAGGAGUGUUUUCUCUUCCUUUUUUUCUGGGUGUCAAUAUUCUUUCUAUCCCAAACUCUAGUUGUUUCCCUAAAGCCAUCAAAUAAGAGGUUUGUCCUCUGAGUUUAACCAGAGAAAAAGAAAUGGGCUGUUCCUGCUCUCCACCCUUUGCAAUUUCUGUGAUGAUGAUGAUGAUGAUGAUGAUGAUGGUGAUGAUGAUGAUGAAGGUAACUAUAACAACCCUGUGAGAAUAUUAAUAACCCCAUUGACAGAUGAGGAAACUAAGGCCCAGAGAGAUGAAGUGAUUUGCCCUCAGUCACACAGCUAGAUAUUAGCAAAGACAGGAUUUAUAUCUGGUUCCAUGAGACUCAGAACCUGGCCUCUUUCCACUAAACUACACUACAUCACUCCCCACGUGGAAGUUCAGGGUCAGGAGCCUGGGGAGCAGCAGGUCUGUCAAGUUCUGCAGGGCUGAGCUGUUUAUCAUUGUGGAGGACACUCAUCACUGUGCUAAUUACAUUAAUUGCUGCCCACUCUGUGGCUAGGUGGGUGGCUUAACAACACCUAGCAACGUGGUAACGAUGCCUGGGCCUGUCUUUAUGCAUGAAAACAUCUGCCUUUUUUUUUAAACUCCUUCCUGUGGUGUCCAAGGAUAGUAAUUACAGGUUCUAUUGGUUGGGAGUUAGUGAUUCUCUACCCUGUAGGGAAAAGGUCAAGACUAUGAACUUUGCCCUCUAACAGCCUUUUUACUGGAAUCGGGAGGGAAACCGAAGAUUUAUUAAAUAUCAACCCUGUGCUUGACAUUUUAUUUAAGGGAUCUUUUAUAAUCCUCAUGAUUCCUCAAGAAAUAGGAAUUAUAUUAUUCUUACUUUGUUUAUGAGAGUACACAGUCACCAUGUUGGGGUCACAUAGCAAGCUAGGAGCAGGUGGGAACAGGCUUAGAACUCAGGACUAUCAGUGGACACAUUUAGUCUUCACAAAUUUAUCUACACGACAGCAUCUCGUAACAGAAGACAGUGUCUUUCUAAUGUUUAGAACUGAAUUAUAGUGAGGCCGAGUCUGUAUUUCCAGAGAACAAGCAAGGCAUUAGGAGCUGGUGUUUUGUGGAGUUCUCUAUUGGUAAAGGAUGAAUAUUUGAGAUGUCAGCCUUCCGACCUCCACUCCUUCCCUUAGUUUCUGAAAGAAAUUAACAGAGUUUUCCAGUUGAUUUUUAAAUAAGUAAUUUCAAGACCACCUCUGUCUACUUGUUGGGAAUGGACAAGGUGGCUUUGGCAAUUCAUCAUAAUUGGGUAAAUGACUUAAUUUUCAGAGGCUCAGAUAACAGACGAUAAUUUAGGAAGUAAUUGACUUUGGAAUGUUGUGUAUUCAUGUACUUUAAGGGUGUGCCCAUAUCUAUAUGUGUAGGUAUAUAUGUCAAUAAAUGUGUGGUGCGUGUGUGUGUGUGUGUGUGUAUUCUUCAGGAAGACUUAGAGUAGUAGUGGACUUAGAUGAUUUGGUUCCUUUUAUACCUGCCAUUUGUCUAUAAAUAAAGUUUAAAUAAAGUUUAGCUUGUAUACUAAAGCUCAGAACAACUACAUCAUAUGAUGAUACAGGGUAGUAGUUAAGAUAUAUGAAGCUAGGCCAGGGUUUGAAUCUUUUUUUUUUGUUUGUUUGAAUCUUGGCUCGGUCACUUACCAGCUGCUAUGACUUGGGCAGGUCACUUAACCUCUCUGGCAUCAGUUUUUUCAUUUCUAGAAAUAGGGAUGAUAACAAUUCUCAUCUCAUGAGGUUCUUCUAUGCCACGGAGGCUUUUGAGACAGGAACUAUGUCUAUACACUUUUCUGCACUCAGCCAGAAUGAGGUUUGGAAGGAGCAGGCUUUGGACUUAGAUACUCGAUUCUGAUUCCAGCACUCCCAUAUUGGCUGUCUGACCUUACAGAAACUAUAUACCUUUUCUGGACCUCAGAUUCCUCAUUUACACAAUCAAGGCUCCUGAUUUCUACCUAAAAUGAUUGCGAUACCACAAGGUGGGACCCAUGAGACCUGGUGCAGCAGUAACACACAGGAGGGAUCCAGCGAAGGUUGGUUCUUUUUCCCCUUAUUCCCAUCCUAGGGUCUUACAUUUAAUAAUUGGUGACUCAGUUCUUGUUUGAUAUGUAAAAUACAUUCUUUUGUCUCAUACUCCAUUUUUCCCUCUUUCCACUAUUUUCCUUCUCCCUUUUCAUAACACUUUCCUUUCUUUUACCUUUUUGGUCAGCUUCUAUCUACUGUGAUUGAAGCCCUCUGUCCAGGUCACCAGCCAUUGUCUCCUGGAUUGUGGCAGCAGCUUUCUAACUUGUCUCCUUGCCUCUAUCUGUCCCUGUUGUUUCAUUCUCCAUGCAGGGCAGUCCUUCUGUAACCUGAACCAGACCUUGCUGCUCCUCUGUGCCACUCCCUCCGGUGGCUUCUCAUCACCAUGGCCUGCAAGGCUCUGUGUGACCUGUCUUCUGGCACUCCCUGACCUCCCUCUUAGCUCAGUCUGCUCCAGCCUCAAAGGCCUUCUGGCUGUUACUGGAACAUUCAAGCACAUUCUUGCUUUGGGUCUUUUAUAAAUAUAUACAUCUGUCUGUGUGUAUAUAUAUAUAUACACACACACACACACACACACAAAAACACACACAUACACACACAUAUAUACACACACACAUACACACACACACAUAUAUAGUUCUCUCUUCCUCCAGAUAUCUGUAGGCUUCAUCCUCUCACUUCCUUAGGCCUCUGCCCACAUGGCACCAUAUCAGAAAGGCCUUCCCUGAUGACUUAAUAUUAAAAAAAAAAACCCAAGCACUCCCAGUCCUCCGUUUUAGUUUUCCUCUUUUCUCUUAUCAGUGGCAUAUUAGACACUUAUUCAUUUACUUAUUUAUUUUCUCUCUCCCCUGAGCAGCACGUGACCUCUAUAAGAGCAGACUUGGUUUUGUUUUCUGCUGUGUCCCCAGAACCUGGAGCACAGUAAGUGCUCAAUAAAUAUUUGCUGGAUUUUGUGAAUGUGUGUGUCCCCUUUAUGAAAUGGCACGGAAGAGCCUGCACUGACGCUCCAGGUGAUUUGGGGCCUGAAUGGGUCACUGAUCAACUUUUAUCUUAACCAGACCAGGGUGAUGAGGAGAAUUAGGUGGCUGCUCAGGGGCCCUUCACACACAUACCUUUGGGACCAACGCUGUUUCGUCUGCAGCAAUGGCGUGCCUGGCUUUCAUGCUUGUGGUUUGUACCAUAGUUGUGAUGUUGUCUAGAAUUCCCAUGGCAGCUUUACAAUAUGAUUAAUUUUGCUCAUAUAGAUACAUAUCGAUUACGGAUAAAGAUGACUCAAGGUUUAAAUUUAGCCCCACCACAACAAAUUGAAAGUCACAGGUGUGCUACCUAAUUGCUCCCAGACUAUGAAAACAAAAGCACAAUGUCUGCCAGCACUGAAUCACUCUUCUCCACCCUUUUUCUCCCUUCCCUUCAUGUUCUCUGUCUUAAUUCUGUUCAUGUCGUAAACCGUGGUAGCUUAGAAAAGUGAAAAAUAACAUCCGGAGUCCAAAGUUCCAGUCCUGACACCACCACUUGUUUACUGUGAGAUCUCAAGCAUGUUACCCCACCUCCCUGAGCUUCAGUUUCCUCUUUUGUAGAAUAGACCUACUUGAAAACAGGUGCUCAAUAACGUGUUGAAUGAAAGAUGCCUAAGUGAGACAGCAUGGGUAGAAUGUCUAGCCCAGGGUGAGCACUCAAUAGAUGCUAGUCACCGGCCAUGCUAACUGAUGCACCUGACUGUGCUGUCUUCAUGAACUUUCUUUGGCUUUGGUUAACCAUUAGGAUAGGCAACCCAGCUGAAAACAGAGGAUGGCUCAUGACAAGGCCUUUCCUAAUCAGUCUCUCACAAGGGCUUUUAUGGAGGCCCUACUAUGCGUACAGCAAGGUGGAAGAUUCAGGGGUGGGUGGAGCAUCAAGCCAGCGAGAGGCAUAGUUACUGCUGCUAUUGGUGCCCUGUGGCUGCUGUAACAAAUGACCACAAGCUUUGUAGCUUAAAGCCACAGAAAUGUAUUCGCUCACAGUUCUAGAGGGCAAAGCAUUUGAAAUCAAAAUGUUGGCAGGGCCACGCUCCCUCCAAGGGCCCUAAGGAAGAAUCCACUCUCUGCCUUUUGCAGCUUCUGGCGACUCCUGGUGUUGCUUGGCUUGUGGAAGCACAGCUCCGUUCCGCGCCUCUGUCUUCACAUGAUCUUCCCUACUGUGUGUCUCUGUGUCUCAAAUCUCCCUCACCUUUCUCUAAUAAGGAAACCAAUCAUUGGAUUUAGGGUCUACCCUAAAUUCAAAAUGUUUUCAUCUUGAGAUCCUUAACUUAAUUACAUCUGCAAGGACCCUAUUUCUAAAUAAGUUCACAUUCAUAAGUGUUGGGGUUUGGGGUUUAGGGUUUUGACAUCUUUUUUGGGGUCCCAAUUUAACCCAGCUACAGUGGCCUCCAGGAAUUUCAGAUUAGGGAAAGGAAGAGCACACACAGAUGAACAAAAAAAGUUUCAAGUAGAGUUUGUAAGACAAAUCUUAUUUGAAGGUGGUUAGUAGGGGGUUGAUCCAUUAAUUUUUUGAUCCAGAAAUAUUCACUGAGCCCCUGCUAUGCUGGGUGCUGGAGAUAGAAAUGAGGAAGCACAGUCUCUGCCUUCAAGGAGUUCACAGACUGCUUCAAUGAACAGAGAAAUGGACAUUUAUUGUUGAGCAUGGUAGGAGCUGUGGUAGAAGUAGACCCCUGAUGCGAUGGGCAUUAGCAGGUCUGAGUUACAACCUCGGGGCUGGUGUUCAGAGAGGGCUUUCUGCAGGAAGUAUUAUCCCUUCCAAGGCCUAAAGGUUGAGGGAGUAGGAGCUGGCCAGGCCCAAGCGGGAAUGGUUCUAGGAAGAAGGAAUGGAGGAAAGACAGGCUGGCCUGUAUAGGUUCUGCACUAUGUAGGGGGCUGGAGAGGUGCACAAGGGAUCAGAUUGAAUGGGAUGCUGAAAACCACAGAAAGCUAUGGAGAGCCAUAGAAAGACUGUAGGGAGGGGAGUGACAUGACUAGAUCUGUAUGUUAAAAAUAAAAAUUGGAGAAGGUCUUUUGAGAAAAGUGAUUUUCUAAUAGAAUUUUAUUUGAUCCUUUUUUUAAAAAAAGAAGCAUAACAUAUAUACAGAAAUGCAUACAAGUCAUAAGAGGUGCAUUUUGAUGAAUGAUUACAAAGUGAAUAGCCCUGUGUAUAUACUGCUUAGGUUUUCCAGAUGUAUAGGUUGUCAGAGUACAGGCAGAAUAGAGGAGAGAUGGCCUAAUCAUUUGGAAUUUCUCUUCUUUGUCCUGUGGAGAAAUGGCUUUCAUAACAGAAAGAAUAUGGGAUCUAGGGUAGAAAGGCUCAGUUUUGAGCUCUAUAUCUGGUAUUUCCUUUUUGUAUGAUCUCAGGCAAAUGGCUACACUUUCCUUAUCCUCAGUUUCACUACUGAGAGUGGACUAGCUAUGUCUUCUUCACUAAGAUGGUGUGCAGGUAAAAUAGGACAAAGCUGGUAAAAAGCUCUCUGCAUUAUGCAAAAUAGUUGCCCAUAUAAUUCUAAAAUUCCAAUCUGUCUCAGAUAUAGACUGCUUCACUUUAUCUUCUUCCUUCUUUAUAUGACAUUUUGACAGAUGAAUGAGGAGGGAAGGAGGGGAGGGAGUUUCUCUUUUUGUAAUGCUUUUUUUUUUUUGGUUUUGUUUUCCAUUUCAAAAUGCCAGCCACAUCUGGAGUGGCUCUCCUAUACCCUUCUCUGUCCCUACUCUUCCUGCUCAUUGCUGGCCAUCUUACCCAACCAGGCCCAAAGAGGCAGGGGAAGGAGGGCGGGAAUGAGGGCAUGAAAAGAGCUUCGAGGUGAAAAGAAGUCCCUUCGUCUUCCUUGAGGGUCCCUGCUGUCCCCAGCUGUGCACUAGGCAUUUGGGAUGGAGGUGGGGGGAUGUAGAUGGGAAACAUGCCCUUCACUUUCAGUGUGAUGUCAAGUCUGUUGAGGCAAAAUGAAAACAGCCUAGGCCGAGCGCGGUGGCUCACGCCUGUAAUCCCAGCACUUUGAGAGGCCGAGGCGGGCGGAUCACGAGGUCAGGAGAUCAAGACCAUCCUGGCUAACACGGUGAAACCCCCUCUCUACUAAAAAUACAAAAAAAAGUUAGCCAGGCAUGGUGGCAGGCACCUGUAGUCCCAGCUACUCGGGAGGCUGAGGCAGGAGAAUUGCGUGAACCUGGGAGGCAGAGCUUGCAGUGAGCCGAGAUCUGGCCACUGCACUCCAGCCUGGGCAAGAGAGUGAGACUACGUCUCAAAAAAAAAAAAAAAACAAAAAACAAAAAACAGCCUAAUAGCAGAGCAAGACCAGCUAAGGUCAAAGUCUUAGUGUCAGAGGCAAAUAGCCCCAAAGGAGGCUGGAAACAGAAGAGACCACUUCACUGGGUAAAACACCUACAGAAGGUGAGCUCAGUGCUAGGCUCUCCCUUCUCUCCUCUCAUUUCAAAUUCUUGGCAUUUUAUGCAAUAAAUAUAUUUAAGCACCUAUAGCAUAUCAGACCAUUAUUUUAUACACAUUGUUUUAUUUGAUCCUCAGAACAACACUAAAAGCUAAGUAUUAUAAUUACCAUCUUUUGGAGGAAGGGGACCAAGAUUUACAGAUUUGCUCAAGAUCACACCACUGUUAAAAGAAGGAAAUAGCUUUGAACCCACACCCAUCCAGUCCCACAAAUCCUGCUCUUUCCACUCUGCUAUACCGUUCGUUGAACGUAUGUGGAAGGGAGCCACGCGCUUUAUCGGGCUGCAUCACAUUGCAUGCAUUUUUAGUAUAUGUGUGCACAUGCCAACAGGCAUGUGGGAAUCCUGCUGGGUGAGUUGUAAUGAGGGCGUUUUGAGUGGCUAGAUGCAUUUUUGCUGGUGAGGCCUGGCUCAAGGAGAACAGGAAAGGAAGCAUACAAACCCAGUGUGUGGGAGGCUAGUCACACGGUGUGAGGGCUUGUCCUUGAACAAACUAUUGGGAAAUGGGUCUGUUAAGCCCUGGUGAAACUUUACUUUACUGGGGGGCCCCUAGGUUUUUCCAUGACUAUUUGAUUUCCAAAGCAUAAUUCAUUCCCAAUUCUUGAAAAAAAAGAAAAAGCAAUAUUUGUUUAGCACCUCCUGUGUGCCAGGCAUGGUGCUUGGUGCUUUACAUAUGUGACAUCAUUUAAUUCUCACAAACCCUUGCCCAUUAGUGCCACUGUUCAGCCCAGGAGACAGAUUCAGGAAGUUCAGGCGAUUUGUUCAAGAUUCUUCAGCUGGUGUGGAGCAGCACUGGGGUUCCUGCCCUGUGCUGUUCAACAGCAAGUCACACUGGCAUUUUAAAGUUAUUGGUGGGACAUUCUGUCUUUUAAUAUAGUUGUAAAUUAUCUCUAAUCAUGAAAUAGGAUGACAGCAUACUGAUCCUUCCUCUCCUCUUUUAGAAAAAGAAAGGCAUUAUCUUUUCAUUCCUGAGUAACUAAGAUUCUUUGCCCCAGAGGUAAAAAUCUCCACUCCAGGUUACUCAUGUGUCAUUGUCCGGAGGGUACAAUUGCUACUCUUGCUUUCGUUUGGCCCUUUUUCUUCUUCUUUUCCUAAGGUACCUGGCCUCUUUCAAGAUAUCUCUCACUCCCCCAUACCCAUCACUAUAGUAUAAGGCUGCUGAGGUGGCACCAGCCAUGAUAAGGAAGGCAGGGACCUGUGGCCUGGAUGAGCCUGUAGUCAGAGAGACCUGGUGUGUAUGGAGUCUAGAGGGCCCUCUGAGGUUUGAGAUAGGCCUAAUAGUCUCCCAAAGACCCCUGGUCCCUGCUCACCUAGUGCCAUCAUAGAAGGGAAAAGAUGUUCUUGGUGUCACUGGAGAACAUUUGGCUUUGGAGAUAAGUGUUUGGGCCACCAGCCCCCUUCAAGAAUAUAUAGCAAUUAUGAGUGUCUGGAUGGACCUCAUUUUUUGCACUGGGCGGAUAGAUUAACCAAACCUCCCAGAAGUGGAAUGAAUAACAAAGAGAAAGGUCUUUGCAAUUCUAGGGCUUGUCCUUUCACAUCUCUUUUAAGGCUUGUGAAAGCAGCGAGCAGUGGGGAGGGAGAUGGGUGGAAUGGGCAUUUGUUAACGAGGAGAAAUCCUGAGAUGCUUGGUUGUGUGACCUGGGGUUGGGAAGCCACUCCACUUCACAUCUCUGAGUCUCAAUUUUCCCUUCUGCCAUUUGGCAAAGGGAAUGCUUCCCUUCCUCUUCCCCUGCCCCAGACGGCUGCUGUGAGAAUGAGAUGAGAAUAUGUUUAGGGUUUUGGAGUGAUGUCCGAACUCAGAGAAGGUGCUUAGGCCAAAGUCAAGAGGCCUGAGGUGUACUCCAGACUCUGCCCUGAACUCAGUAUCUCUUCUUUCCGGGGCUUCCUUUCUAUAAAAUGGGGGAAUGAGGGUAGCUUUCUUUCUUUUUUUUUUUUUUCCCUCAAUGGUCACUUUUGAUUCUAAAUGCCAUAAUGCCAUGACUGUUUUCUCAAAGUAGAGGAUUAGAUGCAACUUUUAGGAGAUAAAUGGAUCAUUUAAUAGUUACCUGUUCAGUCAUUUAACAAAUGUUUAAUGAGGACCUACCACAUGUCAGCCACAGUGCUAGGUAAUGGAUAGAAUAACAAACAAAACAGACGUAGCCCCUGCCCUCAUGGAACUUCUAGUCUAGUAUAAGACUGUUUGGAAGAACUUCCUCAUCUCAGAUAGUUGAAGAAGUUCCAGGGCUCCAAGGGGAAUGUCGUUAGUUAAAAGAACAAUGUCAGGAAUGUAAUAGGUGCUCAAAUAUUUGUUAAAUGAAUAAAUCAAUACAAGCACCUGAAGGAAGCUCUUGCAGUAACCCUAGAGUUAGGAGCAGUUCUUUGGAGUCCAGAAAGACUGUGGGAGCUCUGGCAAAGGGUGUAUGUAAUUGCUAAAUAGUUUGUUUGUUGAGACACCUGUGGAUGGGAGGAUCUGCCCCUACCUGCCUGGUUCUCAAGGUGGCCACUUACUGGGAACAACGAUGGCUUCACUUGCCAGGUCUUUUCCCCAGAGGUGGAGCCCAUGCAGAUGCUGGAACUGAAGGGGGGAAGGGAAAAGUGGCCAGGGAAAAAUGCCAGUGUUUGUAUGACAUUUGGGCUAAGCCCAGAGGACCCAUAGAGAUUGUGGGGUCUCAUCUGUAUCCUGUCAGAGGGGUAACUGAGGCCUAGAUGGGAUGUGAGGUCACAAAAGAGUUGGCUCCAAGCCAUGUCAGGAGGCUGGAUGGGGAGGUGGAAAGAACCUGGGCUUAGGAGUUGGAGAGUACUUGGGUUUGAAGGCUGUGGAUCCUUGGGUAAAUCACUUAAUCUCUCUGAAUCAGCUUUCUCAUCUGUUGAAGAGACAUCACAGUGGUGGCAUCUGAAAGAUGUCAUGAGGUAUAAUGUGUCUUGGACACCUAAAAUCAGGACCCAGGACUAACUAUAGACCUGAUAAUCAGUAUUUAUAAUUAUUACAUUAUUAGGACCCAGGUCCUAUUUCUGUGCAAUGUUGAAAGAUAGUGAUAAGAACAAUUUAGAUCAGAACUUACAAGUUUGCAUGAUCUUCAUUAUAAAUGAAAUAGUGAAACAAUGCUGAGCGGAUUUACAGAGGCGUAACUCAUUCAUUAACCAGCUUAGACAGGCAUUUUCCCCCCUCUUUGGGAUUGGUUUUCUCUUCUGUUAAAUGGGGAUAAUUUUUAUGCUCAACCUCUUCUCAUCCAUCUAUUAAACAUUUAUUGAAUGCCUAUUAGGAGUCAUAAUAUGCUUAGUGCUGAGGACACAGGAAGAGGACAUAGUUCCUGACCCUAAGGAGCUCAUUACCUAGUGGGACACUAUUAAACAGAUACAACACAGAAUAGUAUGUAUAGAGCAUGGUAUGUAGCAGGGGCCUAUUCCUGUCUGAGUGGACAAGGAGGCUUCCUAGAGGAAGCAACAUUUAAAGCUGAGGGCUGAAGGAUGAAUAGGAUUUAACCAAGUAAAAGUAAGAAAGGAAGUGGGGAGCUGGAAAGGGCAUUCCAGGAAGAAGAAACUGCAUGUGCAAAGGCCAGGAGGUCAGAGCGCACAGUGGAUAUGACGAUGUGGCUAGCUGAGCAUGUCUGUGCAGUGUCAACUUUGUUGUGAACACAGAGGGAGGCUACUGGGAAAUUUUAAGCAAGAGAGUUGGAGUAUGAUCACAUUUGCAUGUUAGAAAGAACACUCAGGGUUAUAUGCACUUGAAUGAAGUUUUAUUAUGGAGAGCAGUUGGAACAAGUCGAUUCUUUCCUCCUCCUCCAUCAUCCUCCUCUUUUCCCUGUCCACAUAACAUGGCUCACAUGAGAUAAAAUAACCCACACAAGCAUGCCUUGUGUAAUGUCUGCCACAUAGUAGGUGUCCAAUUAUCAUAUAAUUCCCCCCUUUUUAAAUGUAGUUCCUGAAAGAGAAAUCCCCUGGCAUGAAGCACAAGUUGGGGCAAAAACGGUGAGGGUGUGGCUGUUUGUAUCUUCUGGCUGGUGUUUGGGUAUAGCCGACAGGAUUUAGGUCAGAGGAAGUUCCCCAGACAGUUCAGCCUCAACCAGUCAUCUGGGGUUUCAGGGAGGGCAGGUGAAGGUCAUAAUAUCCCCCUAUUUCAGGAGGCCACCCCUCCCCAGGAUCCUGAUCUUGAAAUGUACCAGACAUGGACCAUUGCGUUAAUUUGUCUGGGUCGGCUUCCUCAUCUGUAAAAUGGGUAUAAGGUUACCUGUGCUGUCAGCCACAUGGGGUUGUUGUAAGAAACAGAAAAGUGUGAACCACCACAAAAUAAUAUAAGACUACAUUAAUUAAUGGCUACCCUGGGCUGGGCCUUGUUCUGUGAAGUAGAUAUUAUCAAUUAUCCCUAUUAUACAGAUAGCAAAACCAAGGGUCAGAGAGAUUAUGUGAAUCACCCACAGGCACAGAAUAAGUGGCUGUAGCUGGAGCGCUGGCAUUUUAACCACAACACUGUGACACCAUGACUUGUUCUCCUUUGAAAACCACCUCCUGCUCCCUGAGCUCUUAGCUUGAUGCAGUACUCCAGAAAUGAGUGUAGAAAGAUGGAAGAAGGAAGGAAAGGGGCAGUGUUUGAAGUCUGAGAGUCUUUCCAGAUGCCUCCCUACUCCUCACCCCACCAACUCAGGGUCUUCUUCCAGAUGCACUCUGGGAAAUGGCUCAUGGCAUCCUCUUAAAAUGACCUGUUACCUGACUCCUCAUUAGAUGGGGACACGUGGGGGAAGGGACUGUUUGGUUUGCGUUGGUAUCCCCAGGGUCUAGUACAAUGGCUGGCACUCAGUAAAUGUUUGUGAAUAAAUUCCUCCUGUCAUUGUCUGAAUUUUCUGCCCAUGCUGUCCUCUUGGCCAAGAGAUCUAAAAGCAAACGAGCUGGGGCUUCUGGAAAGUCUUCCAAGGUCAGUGGAUGCAUGUGUGAUGGAGGCCCAGCAAGAGGUCAGUGUGUUGCCCUGGGGCAAGCCUGCAGGAUGGACCCAGAGGGCUGGGGUGGCCGGCUUCAUCCAGCUCAUUUUUCCCAAGGGAUCUGGCGCUCACAGGCUGCACAUAGAGCCCACGUGUUGUGUUGCGUGAGGACCCCUAAGGAUUUGUUGAGUGGUCCUAGGUGCUCAAGUCACUGUACCUGCAGGGUGGCUUGAGCUGGGCCCACCUGACUGAUUGGCUGGUCAAUAGGUGGCCUGAGAACCAAAACUAGCCUCCAGCACAUUGAGCAACCGGCUUCCUUCCUGCCCCGGGUCAGGAGCUGGGCCAGGGAAAGUGAAGAAACCUGUUUGGGGCCUCGGCAGGGUGGGCGUGGGUGGGGCCCUGCCGGGAAAAGAGGCGCCUAGACCAGUUAGUUUCCUUUGCUCCAGGACCGGAUGCGGAGCCGGGACUCAGGUGGAGGCAGGAGAAAUACGCACCCUGGGUGCACCUAUUCCUAUCAGGCGAAGGCCGCCUUUCCUGGCCUCCCCCACAGGCCCGCCAGCGAUUCGUCCUUACAAGGCUAGCCUCCACGGGCUGCCCUCUGUGUAAAUAAAGCCACAGACUUCCGCCCACAGGUCGCCGCAGGUCCCGCCCGCAGCGCCGGGCCGCGGGGGAGGCGGGAACUGGUGCUACGGCCGCUACGCAGGCCUCGGGAGGCUCGGAGCCCGCCACGCCCCAGCCCUCUCGCAGGGCCGGGGAGCCACGGGGCCAAAAGGAGGAGCAGGUGGAAGAAAUCCAGGCUCAGACCGUCGGAGUCCCCACCCAUGAGCACCCUUCUCCACUGAUCACUCAGAACAUGGUAGGCCCUAGAGAGACAGCAGCCCGAAUCUUCCCAGAAACCCUGCAGGAGAUUCCUUCUUCCCAUUUUAUAGAAGGGAGGCUGAGGCUCGGCACGUUGAAAUGGCUUGACCAAGGUCCCACAGGCAAAAAAAUGGUACAGCAAGAUAUUGUAACCCAAUAUCUGGCUGCAAAACCCAGUCUCUCCCCAACCCACCUAUCGUCACCGAGAUUGUAAAACUUCUAACCGGGAAGAAUCAAAUACAUGCACAACGGGUUACAGGUUAACAGACAGAUGGGAGCGGAAAGGGACAUUCCAGCGCUUCCCUGGGCGUGUCGCACAGGGCAACUCCAACCACAGGCGAAUUUUCCUGGGUGACAGUUAAACUCCUUUUUGCAUGAAAAAAUACAGAUUCUUAUUAAAACAAUAAUCGAUUAGACUAUAAAA